ACGAACGCUGGCGGCAUGCCUAACACAUGCAAGUCGAACGAGACCUUCGGGUCUAGUGGCGCACGGGUGCGUAACGCGUGGGAAUCUGCCCUUGGGUUCGGAAUAACUCAGAGAAAUUUGAGCUAAUACCGGAUGAUGACGUAAGUCCAAAGAUUUAUCGCCCAAGGAUGAGCCCGCGUAAGAUUAGCUUGUUGGUGAGGUAAAGGCUCACCAAGGCGACGAUCUUUAGCUGGUCUGAGAGGAUGAUCAGCCACACUGGGACUGAGACACGGCCCAGACUCCUACGGGAGGCAGCAGUGGGGAAUAUUGGACAAUGGGCGAAAGCCUGAUCCAGCAAUGCCGCGUGAGUGAUGAAGGCCUUAGGGUUGUAAAGCUCUUUCACCGAUGAAGAUAAUGACGGUAGUCGGAGAAGAAGCCCCGGCUAACUUCGU
RNAcentral lists this ribosomal RNA (431 nucleotides) under uncultured bacterium. RNAcentral's name for it is "bacterial SSU rRNA". It matches the Rfam family "Bacterial small subunit ribosomal RNA", at positions 29 to 506 of the family's 1533-position model. The record is from RNAcentral.